UACGGAGGGUGCGAGCGUUGUCCGGAAUCACUGGGCGUAAAGGGCGCGUAGGCGGCCGUGUAAGUCACUUGUGAAAUCCCGGGGCUCAACUCCGGGGCCGCAGGUGAGACUGCGUGGCUAGAGCACGGUAGAGGCGAGUGGAAUUCCCGGUGUAGCGGUGGAAUGCGUAGAUAUCGGGAGGAACACCGGUGGCGAAGGCGGCGACCUGGGUAGAUACUGACGCUGAGGUGCGAAAGCGUGGGGAGCAAACAGG
This 253-nucleotide ribosomal RNA is filed under the name uncultured bacterium. Its description in RNAcentral is "partial 16S ribosomal RNA". It matches the Rfam family "Bacterial small subunit ribosomal RNA", at positions 524 to 776 of the family's 1533-position model. The record is from RNAcentral.